RNAcentral lists this ribosomal RNA (253 nucleotides) under uncultured bacterium. RNAcentral describes it as "partial 16S ribosomal RNA". It matches the Rfam family "Bacterial small subunit ribosomal RNA", at positions 524 to 776 of the family's 1533-position model. The record is from RNAcentral.
UACGUAGGGUGCGAGCGUUGUCCGGAAUUAUUGGGCGUAAAGAGCUCGUAGGCGGUCUGUCGCGUCUGCCGUGAAAACCCGAGGCUUAACCUCGGGCUGGCGGUGGAUACGGGCAGACUAGAGGUAGGUAGGGGAGAAUGGAAUUCCCGGUGUAGCGGUGAAAUGCGCAGAUAUCGGGAGGAACACCGGUGGCGAAGGCGGUUCUCUGGGCCUUACCUGACGCUGAGGAGCGAAAGCAUGGGGAGCGAACAGG